This is a long non-coding RNA of Diabrotica virgifera virgifera (western corn rootworm), 780 nucleotides long. RefSeq lists it as uncharacterized. The transcript is spliced from 2 exons. NCBI's taxonomy places the organism in Eukaryota, Metazoa, Arthropoda, Insecta, Coleoptera, Chrysomelidae. The record is from RefSeq and is a predicted model, not a curated record.
UUGAAAACUACAGUGGCUAGCGGAAAAAUAAUCAAACCAUGGUGUGUAUUGGACGUUUAUAUAAAAAUAGAUGUGCUUUUUUGCAAGAAAAUGCAAGGAAAUCCGGAAAAAUUGUAAAAUAGGAGAUUUUCCGCAAUUUUAUCGAAAACUACAGAAGCUAGCGGAAAAAUAAUUAAACCAUCGUGUUUAUUGGACGAUUUUACAUAAGAAUAGAUGUUUACUAAAAAAUAAAAGUAAUCCCAACGAUAAGGAAUUAAAUUCUUGUGUAAAGUGAUAAAAACUUGUGUGAUAUCGAAUAUAAACAAAGCAGGUUUUACAGUAGGUGGAAACAAAACAAUAUUAUUGUGAAUGGUGUAUUUCUACAGGAAAAUAAAACGUAUUAAUAACCAGAAUCAGCUCUCUUCGGUGGAAAUUGGUAGUGUAGGUUAGCCUAGACGAUGUUGUUCAAAUACGCCACAGAAAAAAUCUAUAGGGAUAAGGUCUGAAGGUCUUGGCGGAAAAUUAAUGUCACAUUUUUUUGUGAAAUAAGUGUGCCCGGAAAUAUUUCUAUCACAGCUUUCUUUAAGUGUUCGCAGUAUGUGACAUAGCACCAUCUAGCUGGAACCAUAUAUUGCCCGAGUUAACCGAGUAUAGCUAUACUUACUGAUACCAUUUUUUUUUGUUUUUAAGGUUAUUUUAAUAAUUAGGUUUUGGUAGAGCUUGGAGAUAUCUAAUGAAAUAUAAGUUUAUUGCUGAAAUGUAUUUAUUGUUUUUAUAAUACAUGUUUGGAUAAGUUUCAAA